AGUGAAUGCAAAGUGAGCUGUGUUCCUCCUCUACUUCUGUGACUGCAGAGAGGAUGACAGAGAACAGUGGACACACAGUUGAACAUGAUGGACUAUAGGACAGGACUGCUGCUUUUAACUGUCUGCUGGGCAGGUGUUGAUGCUCAGACUCUGACAGAGUCUGAACCAGUGGUUCAAAGUCCUGGACAAUCCCACAGACUGACCUGUACAGCCUCUGGGUUCACAUUCAGCAGCUACCAUAUGGCUUGGGUCAGACAGGCUCCUGGACAAGGACUGGAGUGGAUCGCCUGGGUCGAGAAUGAUAAUGACAGAAAAUCCUACUCUACUUCAGUCAGAGGUCGGUUCACCGUCUCCAGAGACAACAGCAGACAGCAGCUGUAUCUGCAGAUGAACAGUCUGAAGGCUGAAGACUCUGCUGUGUAUUACUGUGCCAGACAGCCUCACAGUGACUGAAGCUGGUUCAACAGCUGAACAAAAACCUACAGGACUCAGUCUAACUGUAUUUAUAAAUCCUGUAAAAGAACAGAAUGAAAAUUAAAGAAAUAUUAAACAGACCCUGAGAACAUUGUCACCCAUCAGUCACUUUAAAGUUC
Molecule: non-coding RNA, 593 nt
Organism: Cheilinus undulatus (humphead wrasse)
Lineage: Eukaryota; Metazoa; Chordata; Actinopteri; Labriformes; Labridae
Source: the annotation of a RefSeq genome assembly